Non-coding RNA from Aedes aegypti (yellow fever mosquito), 156 nucleotides. Lineage: Eukaryota; Metazoa; Arthropoda; Insecta; Diptera; Culicidae. The record is from Rfam.
GUUGCAGCAACAUGCUUUUUCGUGUCAUUAAAUAAAAACAAGAUUUCAUUAAACAUUUAAGGACCCAAUUGCCCCAUUCUUCCAGGUCAUCGUCGGCGGAAUGGUGUUUGUCUAUGCCAUCAACUGCGGCAAACGGAAGCACCACAGGAACUACAA